RNAcentral lists this ribosomal RNA (377 nucleotides) under uncultured bacterium. RNAcentral describes it as "bacterial SSU rRNA". It matches the Rfam family "Bacterial small subunit ribosomal RNA", at positions 523 to 898 of the family's 1533-position model. The record is from RNAcentral.
AUACGUAGGGGGCGAGCGUUGUCCGGAAUUACUGGGCGUAAAGGGUGCGUAGGCGGCCAGAUAAGUCAGAUGUGAAAUACCACGGCUUAACCGUGGGGGUGCAUUUGAAACUGUUUGGCUUGAGUGCAGGAGAGGAAAGCGGAAUUCCUAGUGUAGCGGUGAAAUGCGUAGAGAUUAGGAGGAACACCAGUGGCGAAGGCGGCUUUCUGGACUGUAACUGACGCUGAGGCACGAAAGCGUGGGUAGCGAACAGGAUUAGAUACCCUGGUAGUCCACGCCGUAAACGAUGGAUACUAGGUGUAGGGGGUAUCGACCCCCUCUGUGCCGGAGUUAACGCAAUAAGUAUCCCGCCUGGGGAGUACGGGCGCAAGCAUGAA